Molecule: ribosomal RNA, 253 nt
Filed under: uncultured bacterium
Lineage: Bacteria
Description: partial 16S ribosomal RNA
Rfam family: Bacterial small subunit ribosomal RNA
Source: RNAcentral
UACAGAGGUCUCAAGCGUUGUUCGGAUUCAUUGGGCGUAAAGGGUGCGUAGGCGGCGCGGUAAGUCGGGUGUGAAAUCUCGGAGCUUAACUCCGAAACUGCAUUCGAUACUGCCGUGCUUGAGGACUGGAGAGGAGACUGGAAUUUACGGUGUAGCGGUGAAAUGCGUAGAUAUCUGGAGGAACACCGGUGGCGAAGGCGGCAUCCUGGGUCGGUAUUGACGCUGAGGAGCGAAAGCCAGGGGAGCAAACGGG